UGACGUGUGCUUGUGAGGUUCAGCAAGAUCCCCGCCCUCAAACCCAGACUGCUGUCAUGCAAGAGAGCUGCACACAUAGGGAGAAAAUAUCACACAAUAUGAAUGAUGCCUAAAUAGACUGACCAAAGAAACCAAAGAUGAGUCCAUGAGAAGCAGUUGAGAGAAGAGACAUCCAGUUGGGAAUGAUCUGUCUGAGGCUGACUUGCAUGGAAAGAGAAUAUGAAUAGGGCAGUCAUACAAGCUUUGUAUGAUCUUCCCAGACUCCAGCUAAACCUUUGCUUCUUUGGUCAACUUACCAGCAUCAGAAGUACUCAGUGGCCUGCUGGCAGAGGGACAUGGCAGCCAUAUCAUUCAUCUUCUCGUGAGCUUU
This 370-nucleotide long non-coding RNA is filed under the name Mus spicilegus (steppe mouse). RNAcentral's name for it is "lncRNA (ENSMSIG00000028670.1)". The record is from RNAcentral. Lineage: Eukaryota; Metazoa; Chordata; Mammalia; Rodentia; Muridae.